GGACUCCUGGUGAGCUGUGGCAGGUGCUGAGAGGCAUCCACAGUGGUGAUGGCAGCCUGUGGCAUUGACAGCCAAGUACUUACCUCGGAUCUUAACCUAGCAAUGACUCCUAACACCCUGGGAAGACCUAAACAAGGAAGGUGUCAUUUCUUCAGGGAGUUGCAGGGAUACUGAACAAGACAAAGUGGUUUUCAGAUGCAUGCCUUACAGACUAUUGGUUCUGUCUCCCAUCUGGCGACCAUCUCAGGCAGAUCAAAGGACUCAGUGUCAGCUUGCACAUCCUUGGCACUCAUUUCUGGGGGUGGGGAGAGGGU
Molecule: long non-coding RNA, 314 nt
Filed under: Mus spicilegus (steppe mouse)
Lineage: Eukaryota; Metazoa; Chordata; Mammalia; Rodentia; Muridae
Description: lncRNA (ENSMSIG00000017242.1)
Source: RNAcentral